UAGAGUUUGAUCCUGGCUCAGAUUGAACGCUGGCGGCAGGCCUAACACAUGCAAGUCGAGCGGUAACACAGAGGAGCUUGCUCCUUGGGUGACGAGCGGCGGACGGGUGAGUAAUGCCUGGGGAUCUGCCUGAUAGAGGGGGAUAACUACGGGAAACUGUAGCUAAUACCGCAUAACGUCUACGGACCAAAGUGGGGGCUCUUCGGACCUCAUGCUAUCGGAUGAACCCAGGUGGGAUUAGCUAGUUGGUGAGGUAAUGGCUCACCAAGGCGACGAUCUCUAACUGGUUUGAGAGAAUGACCAGUCACACUGGAACUGAGACACGGCCCAGACUCCUACGGGAGGCCGCAGCGGGGAAUAUUGCACAAUGGGCGCAAGCCUGAUGCAGCCAUGCCGCGUGUGUGAAGAAGGCUUUCGUGUUGUAAAUCACUUUCAGCGGGGAGGAAGGGCUACUAGUUAAUACCUAGUGGCAUUGACGUUACUCGCAGAAGAAGCACCGGCUAACUCCGUGCCACCAGCCGCGGUAAUACGGAGGGUGCAAGCGUUAAUCGGAAUUACUGGGCGUAAAGCGCACGCAGGCGGUUUGUUAAGUCAGAUGUGAAAUCCCCGAGUUCAACUUGGGAACUGCAUUUGAAACUGGCAAGCUAGAGUCUUGUAGAGGGGGGUAGAAUUCCAGGUGUAGCGGUGAAAUGCGUAGAGAUCUGGAGGAAUACCGGUGGCGAAGGCGGCCCCCUGGACAAAGACUGACGCUCAGGUGCGAAAGCGUGGGGAGCAACCAGGAUAAGAUCCCUUGGUAGUCCACGCUGUAAACG
Molecule: ribosomal RNA, 812 nt
Filed under: uncultured bacterium
Lineage: Bacteria
Description: bacterial SSU rRNA
Rfam family: Bacterial small subunit ribosomal RNA
Source: RNAcentral